RNAcentral lists this ribosomal RNA (353 nucleotides) under Eukaryota sp. Its description in RNAcentral is "SSU rRNA". It matches the Rfam family "Eukaryotic small subunit ribosomal RNA", at positions 1325 to 1700 of the family's 1831-position model. The record is from RNAcentral.
UCGUUAACGAACGAGACCUCGACCUGCUAAAUAGUAUGACGAAUCCUGGAUUCGGACGUGCUUCUUAGAGGGACUAUCGGUGUGUAGCCGAUGGAAGUUCGAGGCAAUAACAGGUCUGUGAUGCCCUUAGAUGUUCUGGGCCGCACGCGCGCUACACUGAUACGUUCAUCGAGCUUACAACCUUGACUGAGAGGUCUGGGUAAUCUUUAAAAUCGUAUCGUGCUGGGGAUAGAUUAUUGUAAUUUUUAAUCUUCAACGAGGAAUUCCUAGUAAACGCGAGUCAUCAGCUCGCAUUGAUUACGUCCCUGCCCUUUGUACACACCGCCCGUCGCUAAUACCGAUUGAAUGGAUAA